This 588-nucleotide ribosomal RNA is filed under the name Chitinophaga sp. HRRK069. RNAcentral describes it as "bacterial SSU rRNA". It matches the Rfam family "Bacterial small subunit ribosomal RNA", at positions 102 to 688 of the family's 1533-position model. Lineage: Bacteria; Pseudomonadati; Bacteroidota; Chitinophagia; Chitinophagales; Chitinophagaceae. The record is from RNAcentral.
ACGGGUGCGGAACACGUACGCAACCUUCCUUUAAGCGGGGAAUAGCCCAGAGAAAUUUGGAUUAAUACCCCAUAAGAAUGUGAUCUGGCAUCAGGUAGCAUUUAAAGAUUUAUCACUUAAAGAUGGGCGUGCGUCUGAUUAGGUAGUUGGUGAGGUAACGGCUCACCAAGCCGACGAUCAGUAACUGGCGUGAGAGCGCGACCAGUCACACGGGCACUGAGACACGGGCCCGACUCCUACGGGAGGCAGCAGUAAGGAAUAUUGGUCAAUGGACGCAAGUCUGAACCAGCCAUGCCGCGUGGAGGAUGAAGGCCCUCUGGGUUGUAAACUUCUUUUAUCUGGGACGAAACACUUCUUUUCUAGGGAGCUUGACGGUACCAGGUGAAUAAGCACCGGCUAACUCCGUGCCAGCAGCCGCGGUAAUACGGAGGGUGCAAGCGUUAUCCGGAUUCACUGGGUUUAAAGGGUGCGUAGGCGGACAUGUAAGUCCGUGGUGAAAUCUCCGAGCUUAACUCGGAAACUGCCAUGGAUACUAUAUGUCUUGAAUGUUGUGGAGGUUAGCGGAAUAUGUCAUGUAGCGGUGAAAUG